AGUGAACGCUGGCGGCGUGCUUAACACAUGCAAGUCGAACGAGAACGGAUUAUAGCUUGCUAUAAUUGUCAGCUAAGUGGCGCACGGGUGCGUAAUGUAUAGGUAAUAUGCCUCUUACUAAGGGAUAACAAAUGGAAACGUUUGCUAAUACCUUAUACUCCUUAUUAACAGAAGUUAAUAAGGGAAAGAUUUAUUGGUAAGAGAUUAGCCUGUAUUGUAUCAGUUAGUUGGUGGGGUAAUGGCUUACCAAGACUAUGACACAUAACUGGUUUGAGAGGAUGAUCAGUCACACUGGAACUGAGACACGGUCCAGACGCCUACGGGAGGCAGCAGUGGGGAAUAUUGCACAAUGGACGAAAGUCUGAUGCAGCAACGCCGCGUGGAGGAUGACACAUUUCGGUGCGUAAACUCCUUUUAUAUGAGAAGAUAAUGACGGUAUUAUAUGAAUAAGCACCGGCUAACUCCGUGCCAGCCGCCGCAGUAA
Molecule: ribosomal RNA, 484 nt
Filed under: uncultured bacterium
Lineage: Bacteria
Description: partial 16S ribosomal RNA
Rfam family: Bacterial small subunit ribosomal RNA
Source: RNAcentral